GAAAUUUCUGCAAAGGGAAACUUUCAAAUUUUGAAAGGACUACAUUGUUGGAAAGCAAGAUAGUUGUUUUAUCAGCUGUUGUAGAAUUUUCGGCUGAGCUUUCCGUAUUGUCGAGUUAGACGGGUUUGUUUAUGGUGAUACGUGCAGCUUGGCCAAUGGAUGUUGCCAACCUUGUCUCCUUUCCCCUCCUCCGCCGCGUCGCCGUGAAU
Molecule: non-coding RNA, 209 nt
Organism: Paramuricea clavata
Lineage: Eukaryota; Metazoa; Cnidaria; Anthozoa; Malacalcyonacea; Plexauridae
Source: the annotation of a GenBank genome assembly